CUUCACCGACCCCAGCCACAACGGCUCGUCCCGAUCGCGGCCGUAGGUCGCCAGGAGCGCCUGCGCCUC
Molecule: non-coding RNA, 69 nt
Organism: Kitasatospora griseola
Lineage: Bacteria; Bacillati; Actinomycetota; Actinomycetes; Kitasatosporales; Streptomycetaceae
Rfam family: ASpks TB sRNA
Source: Rfam